This 424-nucleotide long non-coding RNA is filed under the name Phoenix dactylifera (date palm). RNAcentral describes it as "long non-coding RNA (PDAC_LNC021567)". Lineage: Eukaryota; Viridiplantae; Streptophyta; Magnoliopsida; Arecales; Arecaceae. The record is from RNAcentral.
ACUUUUAUUUAUUGGAUGGAGUGAAUUUCCCAUAAUGCCCCUACUUUCUCUUAUAGAGAGGUGCAAUUUUUUUACUACCUUGACAAUGAAGUGGCAUGAGAUAACCAUUUCCUAUUCCGCUUUUGCUUGACAUGGUAAACACUAUUGUCAAGCAUUAUCUUAGUUAAUUAAUCAGUUUCAUGGCCCUUCUUUUCGAACAAUUACUUUUAUUUAUUUUUAUUUAAAAAUUAUAUUAAAUUAAAAAUUUUUUUACCUAUUUUUAUUAAAUUUAUAUAUCUUUAUUGAAAUAGUAUACUUGAUAGCUAUCUAUUUCUAUAUCAUUUUUUUAAAUAUUUUAUAUUUAUUAAAAAAAAUUAUUAUUAAAAAAAAGAGGCCUCAUUCAUUGGAUUUGCCUUAGGCCCCCAAAUGUAUUGGGCCGCCCCUG